AGUAAGCAUUUUCGCAUGAUUAAAGGUUUACCGGUGUAAGAUGGGGAUGCGUUCCAUUAGAUAGUAGGCGGGGUAACGGCCCACCUAGUCUUCGAUGGAUAGGGGUUCUGAGAGGAAGGUCCCCCACAUUGGAACUGAGACACGGUCCAAACUCCUACGGGAGGCAGCAGUGAGGAAUAUUGGUCAAUGGACGAGAGUCUGAACCAGCCAAGUAGCGUGAAGGAUGAAGGUUCUAUGGAUUGUAAACUUCUUUUAUACGGGAAUAAACGGAUCCACGUGUGGAUUUUUGCAUGUACCGUAUGAAUAAGGAUCGGCUAACUCCGUGCCAGCAGCCGCGGUAAUACGGAGGAUCCGAGCGUUAUCCGGAUUUAUUGGGUUUAAAGGGAGCGUAGAUGGGUUGUUAAGUCAGUUGUGAAAGUUUGCGGCUCAACCGUAAAAUUGCAAUUGAUACUGGCAGUCUUGAGUACAGUUGAGGUAGGCGGAAUUCGUGGUGUAGCGGUGAAAUGCUUAGAUAUCACGAAGAACUCCGAUUGCGAAGGCAGCUUACUAACCUGUAACUGACAUUGAUGCUCGAAAGUGUGGGUAUCAAACAGGAUUAGAUACCCUGGUAGUCCACACGGUAAACGAUGAAUACUCGCUGUAGGCGAUAUACAGUCUGCGGCCAAGCGAAAGCAUUAAGUAUUCCACCUGGGGAGUA
RNAcentral lists this ribosomal RNA (697 nucleotides) under uncultured bacterium. RNAcentral's name for it is "bacterial SSU rRNA". It matches the Rfam family "Bacterial small subunit ribosomal RNA", at positions 182 to 882 of the family's 1533-position model. The record is from RNAcentral.